AUGGCGAAGAAGGCCGCAAAGCGAGCUGUUGGUGAAGCAAGGGGUCGGGCAUAUGAGGACCUCUACCAACGGUUAGGCACGAAGGAAGGUGAAAGGGACAUCUAUAAGAUGGCCAAGAUCCAAGAGAGGAAGACGAGGGAUAUUGGCCAAGUCAAAUGCAUCAAGGACGGAGCAGGCCAACUCUUGGUGAAGGACGAGGAGAUUAAGCAUAGAUGGAGGGAGUACUUCGACAAGCUGUUCAAUGGGGAGAAUGAGAGUUCUACCAUUGAACUGGACGACUCCUUUGAUGAGACCAACAUGCGUUUUGUGCGGCGAAUCCAGGAGUCUGAGGUCAAGGAGGCUUUAAAAAGGAUGAAAGGAGGCAAGGCGAUGGGCCCUGAUUGUAUCCCCAUUGAGGUGUGGAAAGGUCUCAGGGACAUAGCGAUAGUAUGGCUAACCAAGCUUUUCAACCUCAUUUUUCGGGCAAACAAGAUGCCAGAAGAAUGGAGAUGGAGUAUAUUAGUACCAAUCUUCAAGAACAAGGGGGAUGUUCAGAGUUGUACUAAUUACCGUGGAAUUAAGAUGAUGAGCCAUACAAUGAAGCUAUGGGAGAGUCAUUGA
Molecule: ribosomal RNA, 600 nt
Filed under: Triticum aestivum (bread wheat)
Lineage: Eukaryota; Viridiplantae; Streptophyta; Magnoliopsida; Poales; Poaceae
Description: partial small subunit ribosomal RNA
Source: RNAcentral